GUGGGCGUAGGAUAUUUGAGAGGCUCUGCCCCUAGUACGAGAGGACCAGGGUGGACGCACCUAUGGCGCACCAGUUGUCACGCCAGUGGCAUAGCUGGGUAACGAUGUGCGGAUGGGAUAAACGCUGAAAGCAUCUAAGCGUGAAACCCGCCUCAAGAUAAGAUAUCCCUAAAGAGCAAUCUGAGUAAGGCCCCUUAUAGACCAUAAGGUUGAUAGGUCAGGUGUGUAAGUGCAGCAAUGCAUUCAGCUUACUGAUACUAAUAGGCCGAGGGCUUCAAUCAA
RNAcentral lists this non-coding RNA (282 nucleotides) under Acidaminococcus sp. CAG:917. RNAcentral describes it as "Bacterial large subunit ribosomal RNA". It matches the Rfam family "Bacterial large subunit ribosomal RNA", at positions 2647 to 2925 of the family's 2925-position model. Lineage: Bacteria; Bacillati; Bacillota; Negativicutes; Acidaminococcales; Acidaminococcaceae. The record is from Rfam by way of RNAcentral.